UAUGCUUCUCCUAAAGACUAAGCCAUGCAUGCCUCCGAUACCAGUUAGCAAUUAUCUCUGAAUCUGCGAACGGCUCCGCAAACCAGUUGUAAACCAUAGCAAGGAAGCCCGGGGUCCCGCCCUCGCCGGGGCGGUCUCCGGGCACACGGAUAUCCAUGGUAAUUCUGAGGCUAAUACGAGAACGUACCCCCCUGACCCACAAGCCGGCAACGGCGGGUCGGGAGGUGUGCGCUCUAGUCGCGAUAUAGAUGAUUCGGGAAUGAGCGCACGUCUGGACCGCGACAAAAGACAGAUGGGACCCCCACGGGGCCCCCCUUCCCUCGCGGGGGGGGGGUCCGGGGGACCUGCCUGAGCGGCACUUGGUGUGUGCUUCUGACCUAUCAACUAGAUGGCAGCGUAAGGGACAUGCUAUGGUUGCAACGGGUACAGAGGAUUAGGGUUCGAUCCUGGAGAGUGGGCCUGAGAGAUUGCUCAUACUUCUAAGGAAGGCAGCAGGCGCGCAAAGUUCCCCUUGGGCAAAGCCCGAGGGCGUUAGGGGACAUAUGAAUGUUUGCCUUCUAGGUGGACAAUUCAAAUGGGUCUGUUGUAAACAGUCUCUCGAGUAACAAUUAGAGGA
This 616-nucleotide ribosomal RNA is filed under the name uncultured Didymiidae. RNAcentral's name for it is "bacterial SSU rRNA". It matches the Rfam family "Eukaryotic small subunit ribosomal RNA", at positions 27 to 555 of the family's 1831-position model. Lineage: Eukaryota; Evosea; Eumycetozoa; Physariida; Didymiaceae. The record is from RNAcentral.